Oryza sativa Indica Group (long-grained rice) is the source of this 205-nucleotide microRNA precursor. It matches the Rfam family "MIR812 microRNA precursor family". The record is from Rfam. Lineage: Eukaryota; Viridiplantae; Streptophyta; Magnoliopsida; Poales; Poaceae.
AAUAAGUGCAGCCAUGAGUUUUCACGUCCAACUUUAAUCGUCCGUCUUAUUUGAAAUUUUUUUAUAAUUAGCAAUUUUGUUGUUAUAAGAUGAUAAAAUAUGAAUAGUACUUUACUCGUGACUUAUGUUUUUAAUUUUUUUUAAAUUUUUUUCAAAUAAGACGAAUGGUCAAAGUUGGGCGCUGAAAAUCAUGGCUACACUUAUU